RNAcentral lists this ribosomal RNA (203 nucleotides) under uncultured Smithella sp. RNAcentral's name for it is "partial 16S ribosomal RNA". It matches the Rfam family "Bacterial small subunit ribosomal RNA", at positions 1179 to 1382 of the family's 1533-position model. The record is from RNAcentral. Lineage: Bacteria; Pseudomonadati; Thermodesulfobacteriota; Syntrophia; Syntrophales; Smithellaceae.
GUGACGUCAAGUCCUCAUGGCCUUUAUGCUUAGGGCUACACACGUGCUACAAUGGGUGGUACAAAGAGAAGCCAACUCGCGAGAGCGCGCCAAUCUCAAAAGCCAUCCUCAGUUCGGAUUGGAGUCUGCAACUCGACUCCAUGAAGUUGGAAUCGCUAGUAAUCGCGGAUCAGCAUGCCGCGGUGAAUACGUUCCCGGGCCUU